Molecule: small nucleolar RNA, 73 nt
Filed under: Oncorhynchus mykiss (rainbow trout)
Lineage: Eukaryota; Metazoa; Chordata; Actinopteri; Salmoniformes; Salmonidae
Description: Small nucleolar RNA SNORD58 (ENSOMYG00000017830.2)
Rfam family: Small nucleolar RNA SNORD58
About the family: snoRNA U58 is found in introns 1, 3 and 6 of the ribosomal protein RPL17 gene in humans. U58 is a member of the C/D class of snoRNA which contain C (UGAUGA) and D (CUGA) box motifs.
Source: RNAcentral
UUGCAAUGAUGACUCCUUAGGACACCUUUGGAUUGCCCAUGAAAAAAGAAAUGUAAGAUCAAAUAUGAGCAAC